Molecule: non-coding RNA, 937 nt
Organism: Macaca mulatta (Rhesus monkey)
Lineage: Eukaryota; Metazoa; Chordata; Mammalia; Primates; Cercopithecidae
Source: RefSeq, a predicted model, not a curated record
AUUGGGAAGAACCCAGCUCAGAAGGAAGCCACCGACUGGCAGCAGCACAAAACUAUCAAUUACGCAUUUCCCCUGUUCUCAGUAUUCAAAGAACAAAAGUAGAAAAUGUAGAUGGUUGAGAUAAUCAACAGAGGAUAGGAGACUGUACAAGAAGAGGAGUGAAAAAAUGAGGUGGCAGGGAGUGAGGCACCUCAUGAGAGAACUGAAGGGAUAACAACAAGGCCCAGCAAGAAAAUGAGGCCUUGCGGGCGUGGCGAGAGAACAGUUCCAGAGCUGUGCAAAUGAGCAAACGGCCAUACAGAGGUUGCAUGAGCAGUAGACCCGGGAUCUCAGCCCAGGUAGCCUGGCUCUUAAGCUUGCUAGAUGCUCAGAAACCCUAGAGUUUCUAACACUAGAGCCAAACUGUGCUGGGCAGUGAAGGUGAAGGUGAGGUUUUUACCUCAGCACGUCGAUCUCAUCUUUCAGAGACUGAGCUUCAUCUGCCAAAGUGGUCAGUUCAUCAUUCUGUUGCCGAAGUUCAGAGAUCUCCUUUUCUAACUCUUCACAGCGUAUUCGAUAAUCAUCUUUGGCUGCUUCUAGUCUGUAACCAAUACAUAAUAGAUCAAGAAAGCACUAUUUACUGCCUCCUCAUUCUCCUCAGAACAGUAAAAGAAAAAUAUAAAGCAUGAGAAUAAAGCCUUCUUGAAUAUGUCUCCCAUGUUAGUGGCCACAAGCUGCAUUCUCAAAUAUUAACUGUCAUAAAAAUGGACUCCACUGUCCCAAGUCUUGGGAACGGUGACAACUGGUUACUAUUUCCCUACCAGAAGGCAAGACAACAUGCAAUGCUUUUCAGAACUGCAGAUACAAUUUAUUUAAGGGCUUUUAAAAUUAUAAAAUUAACACAUAUGGUCUGGCACAGUGGCUUACAGUAAUAAACCCAUUAUGUUAAUAAAAACAA